Molecule: ribosomal RNA, 510 nt
Filed under: uncultured bacterium
Lineage: Bacteria
Description: partial 16S ribosomal RNA
Rfam family: Bacterial small subunit ribosomal RNA
Source: RNAcentral
GACGAACGCUGGCGGCGUGCUUAACACAUGCAAGUCGAACGAAGAGCGAUGGAAGCUUGCUUCUAUCAAUCUUAGUGGCGAACGGGUGAGUAACGCGUAAUCAACCUGCCCUUCAGAGGGGGACAACAGUUGGAAACGACUGCUAAUACCGCAUACGAUCUAAUCUCGGCAUCGAGGAUAGAUGAAAGGUGGCCUCUACAUGUAAGCUAUCACUGAAGGAGGGGAUUGCGUCUGAUUAGCUAGUUGGAGGGAUAACGGCCCACCAAGGCGAUGAUCAGUAGCCGGUCUGAGAGGAUGAACGGCCACAUUGGGACUGAGACACGGCCCAGACUCCUACGGGAGGCAGCAGUGGGGAAUCUUCCGCAAUGGACGAAAGUCUGACGGAGCAACGCCGCGUGAGUGAUGACGGCCUUCGGGUUGUAAAGCUCUGUUAAUCGGGACGAAAGGCCUUCUUGCGAAUAGUGAGAAGGAUUGACGGUACCGGAAUAGAAAGCCACGGCUAACUACGUG